UUCACUUCAUUACAAGAAUAAGGGUUACUCCCUCUAUCUAUAGAUUUAGUUUAACGUGGACCUUAAGCCAAAUCCCAAAACUAUAAAAGCCCAAAAUAGCUAACACUACUAAAAUAGGCCUAAGUCGAAAUCUUAUCUGAAGCAACAUGCUUCAACAUUUCGACACACUAAUACAACUCAACACACUAGGUGGUUCGACACUCCUUUGCUUCUAUCAAGCAACCUGCUUCGACACAAGGAAUUACAAUUCAACACACAAUUUAAUUCAUU
This 270-nucleotide long non-coding RNA is filed under the name Lathyrus oleraceus (garden pea). RNAcentral's name for it is "Pisum sativum (pea) long non-coding RNA (PSAT_LNC014737)". The record is from RNAcentral. Lineage: Eukaryota; Viridiplantae; Streptophyta; Magnoliopsida; Fabales; Fabaceae.